CCUACGGGUGGCAGCAGUGAGGAAUAUUGGUCAAUGGACGAGAGCCUGAACCAGCCAAGUCGCGUGAGGGAUGACUGCCCUAUGGGUUGUAAACCUCUUUUAUAUGGGAAUAAAGUGUUCCACGUGUGGGAUUUUGUAUGUACCAUAUGAAUAAGGAUCGGCUAACACCGGGCCAGCAGCCGCGGUAAUACGGAGGAUCCGAGCGUUAUCCGGAUUUAUUGGGUUUAAAGGGGGCGUAGGUGGAUUGUUAAGUCAGUUGUGAAAGUUUGCGGCGCAACCGUCAAAUUGCCGUUGAAACUGGCAGUCUUGAGUAUAGUAGAGGUGGGCGGAAUGCGUGGUGUAGCGGUGAAAUGCUUAGAUAUCACGAAGAACUCCGAUUGCGAAGGCAGCUCACCGGACUGCAACUGACACUGAGGCACGAAAGUGUGGGUAUCAAACAGGAUUAGAUACCCUUGUAGUC
RNAcentral lists this ribosomal RNA (460 nucleotides) under uncultured bacterium. Its description in RNAcentral is "partial 16S ribosomal RNA". It matches the Rfam family "Bacterial small subunit ribosomal RNA", at positions 338 to 795 of the family's 1533-position model. The record is from RNAcentral.